Molecule: ribosomal RNA, 253 nt
Filed under: uncultured bacterium
Lineage: Bacteria
Description: partial 16S ribosomal RNA
Rfam family: Bacterial small subunit ribosomal RNA
Source: RNAcentral
UACGUAGGGUCCGAGCGUUGUCCGGAGUUACUGGGCGUAAAGCGCGCGCAGGUGGUUGAUCAAGUCUGGCGUGAAAGCCCCCGGCUUAACUGGGGAGGGUCGUCGGAGACUGGUUGACUUGAGGGCAGGAGGGGUUGGUGGAAUUCCCGGUGUAGUGGUGAAAUGCGUAGAGAUCGGGAGGAACACCCGUGGCGAAGGCGGCCAACUGGACUGACCCUGACACUGAGGCGCGAAGGCGUGGGGAGCGAACGGG